RNAcentral lists this ribosomal RNA (253 nucleotides) under uncultured bacterium. RNAcentral's name for it is "partial 16S ribosomal RNA". It matches the Rfam family "Bacterial small subunit ribosomal RNA", at positions 524 to 776 of the family's 1533-position model. The record is from RNAcentral.
CACGUAGGGCGCAAGCGUUGUCCGGAAUUAUUGGGCGUAAAGAGCUCGUAGGCGGUCUGUUGCGUCCGCUGUGAAAACCCGGGGCUUAACCCCUGGCUUGCAGUGGAUACGGACAGACUAGAGGUAGGUAGGGGAGAAUGGAAUUCCCGGUGUAGCGGUGAAAUGCGCAGAUAUCGGGAGGAACACCAGUGGCGAAGGCGGUUCUCUGGGCCUUACCUGACGCUGAGGAGCGAAAGCGUGGGGAGCGAACAGG